This 486-nucleotide ribosomal RNA is filed under the name uncultured bacterium. RNAcentral describes it as "partial 16S ribosomal RNA". It matches the Rfam family "Bacterial small subunit ribosomal RNA", at positions 30 to 507 of the family's 1533-position model. The record is from RNAcentral.
AUUGAACGCUGGCGGCAUGCCUUACACAUGCAAGUCGAACGGCAGCACGGGUGCUUGCACCUGGUGGCGAGUGGCGAACGGGUGAGUAAUACAUCGGAACAUGUCCUGUAGUGGGGGAUAGCCCGGCGAAAGCCGGAUUAAUACCGCAUACGAUCUACGGAUGAAAGCGGGGGACCUUCGGGCCUCGCGCUAUAGGGUUGGCCGAUGGCUGAUUAGCUAGUUGGUGGGGUAAAGGCCUACCAAGGCGACGAUCAGUAGCUGGUCUGAGAGGACGACCAGCCACACUGGGACUGAGACACGGCCCAGACUCCUACGGGAGGCAGCAGUGGGGAAUUUUGGACAAUGGGCGAAAGCCUGAUCCAGCAAUGCCGCGUGUGUGAAGAAGGCCUUCGGGUUGUAAAGCACUUUUGUCCGGAAAGAAAUCCUUGGCCCUGAUACGGUCGGGGGAUGACGGUACCGGAAGAAUAAGCACCGGCUAACUACGUG